GAGGAUAUAGCUCAGUAGCACAGUACCUGCCUGAAAAGCAUGAUGUCCUGAGUUUGAUUCCCAGUACACACA
Molecule: transfer RNA, 72 nt
Filed under: Cavia porcellus (domestic guinea pig)
Lineage: Eukaryota; Metazoa; Chordata; Mammalia; Rodentia; Caviidae
Rfam family: tRNA
About the family: Transfer RNA (tRNA) molecules are approximately 80 nucleotides in length. Their secondary structure includes four short double-helical elements and three loops (D, anti-codon, and T loops).
Source: Rfam by way of RNAcentral